CAGUCACUGGCCAGGUGGCCUUGGAGCAAUACAGCAGGGAACUGGCCGUUCGAGAAGGAGAUGGGGUCACGUUCCAGUGCAGCAUGAGUGGAGACAGUAUGAGCAGCUACUACAUGUUGUGGUACCGGCAGGGGCCGUGUGGCUCUCUCGACUGGAUUUAUGAGGAAGUGUGGAGUCUGAGCCACGGGACACAGUUCCUCAUGAACUUCUCCAAUGCCGGCGGGGGGCUGCGAGCGCCCGGGGACUCCGUGCUCCUCUCCUGCCGCGGAUCCGGCUUCGACUUCGGCUUUUAUGAAAUUCGGUGGUACCGUCAGGCACCCGGUGGCAGACUCGAGUGGGUGUCCUACAUCAACUUUGAUUCCUCAAUCAUUCGAUUCGGGCAGUCAGUGGAGGGUCGCGCCACUGUGUCCCGGGACAAUUCCCGGUCUGAAUCUUCUCUGUCCCUGCGUGCCCUUCACCCCCGGGACUCUGCCCGCUACUUCUGUGCUGUUGUCACGGAGACAGGAAAUCCCACUGAUGUUUAA
Non-coding RNA from Charadrius vociferus (killdeer), 524 nucleotides. The record is from the annotation of a RefSeq genome assembly. NCBI's taxonomy places the organism in Eukaryota, Metazoa, Chordata, Aves, Charadriiformes, Charadriidae.